This 2637-nucleotide long non-coding RNA is filed under the name Zea mays. RNAcentral describes it as "long non-coding RNA (ZMAY_LNC002488)". Lineage: Eukaryota; Viridiplantae; Streptophyta; Magnoliopsida; Poales; Poaceae. The record is from RNAcentral.
UUGGGGGCCAACUGAGAUUCCCAGUGCCGUGUGGGAGAUAGAGUGUUAGGGCGCCGCCGUACUCUCCCCUAGACCAUCGCGCCACUCGAGGCCGAAUUGGUGUGCAUGGAGAUUCGCCUGACGCCACUGAAGCCGCUCAUCGCAUCGUUGGUCGGGAAGGGUCCCUAGUCUUCGAGCAAUUCAUCGCGGGAACCGGUCGUUCACUGUCAGGCCACAGGACGGCGUGGGUAGGGCUCUGGUUCGCGUAUAUAUCUCACAGUGAGUGCCCCUUCUUCCAUUUCGCCUCAGCCUACGGAUCGAUUUAGGGCAGUCGCACGGUAUUUCGGGUACCUGGACGUCGAUGCUUUGACCUCCGUCGGGGGGGGGUACUUACCGGCGUUCGUCGCCGCGGUGCUUGUGGUGCAACCUGGCCAGCACGGGGAAGACGACGACGUCUCGGCCGUUAGCUUCUGGAUGGACGGCACAGAUGUGUCGGUAGCUUAACCCUCCACCGUAAACAAUGAGGACCAUCGAUCUACACAUGUCUAGCUAAGAUUAGAUCUAGUGAUUGAGUGGCGUCGCGUGAUCUUGUUCGUCGAUCUCGGAUCGAACGCGCGGGGUGAAAAGUUAGUUGCGGAUAGUAAUGAUCUAAUCUGGUCUGUUGGGACGGAUCGGACAUUCAGGAUCACCCGAUACUCUUCACCGGCUACAUUUUAUAAAAGAUACCCUCAGAGUUUGUUAAAUUAACCUGCAGUCCUCUCUAGUAGGAAUCUAAGUCUAGGGAAUUUUUGUAGAUCAGCCCUUGCACUAUUCGAUAUUCGAUGUGCAGUCCAGAGAAUCGAUUAAUUAGAUAAAUAGUUAAGGAAAUUGAUUUUUAAUACAAAAAUAAUUCUAGAAACUUGUAUAAUUCAUAUUAAAUUCAUUUUAACUCCUUUUUGAUCCAUUCCAGAUGCAUUAAUUUUGUACUAAUAUUGUGUAUCAUCUGGCAACCUUAGUUUAGUAUGAAACUUAGAUUAAAUAAAUUACGCACUUAAUUCCUUUUUUAUCCAACACUUAAAACUUCGGAAAUCCAUAACUUCUUCGUCUUAACUCCGAUUUAGCCUGUUCAAGUUGCGUUGGUUUUGUAUUAAAAUUGUCUACACAGUAGCGAACCUUAUUAUAUCAAAUACUUAUAUAAUUAGAUAUUCGUGUAUCCUAUGAGUACUAGAUCUAUUUUACUAAAUAAGGUGAACAUGUCUAUAAUUAUAAUUUGACGGUAAUAUGAUUUCUAAACAAGUAUAAUCUAGAUUAAAGUUGAAUUGAUUAUUUAGAGUAUAUUUUCUCAUAUGAUGUAUAAUAAUCAAUUUAUAAUAUAAUUUAAUAUUCAACCACAUAGAUCUUUCGUAAAUCAUAACUCGGUAACCGUAACUCCAAUGUUAGUGAUUCUCGAGCCCACGAUCUCGAAGCUUCACGUAGAUCAUUAUUAUUCAGUUUGUACUUAGGUUUGAUGUGAUGUUAAUUUUGCCUAUGCCAUGUUUGUUUGUAUUGCUACGACUAGCAGUGAGGUCACGAGUCAUAUGAAGAUCAUCCUGGUAUCUGGAAUCUCAAGUCCCAGGUAAGUUGUGCCCUUGAUCACUAUUAUUUACCCAGUAAUGUCCUUUAUAAUAAUUUAUUCAUGCAUAUGCUUAAUUUUUAUGGGACCCAAUAGGUCACCCUAGUAUGGUUAUCUUAUUACCUUGUUUGCCCCUGAACUAUUUGGGUAGUUUUGCUAUUGCUCUAUAUGGUUUUGGGUUUAAUAUUACAUUAUGUUCAUGUUCUAAUUAUACUGUUAUUUUAUUUAUUGUUCAUGAUAAGAUCAUUAUUUUAAUUGGAACAUGGAGCUUAACUUGAGAAACACGUGCCACCACAAGGGUGGAAUGGGACGCCCUUGGCUGACUAACUAGGAAAGCUAGUGGAGGACUACCUUACUCGAUAGGGGCAAGGGCAGUAGGGGAGUAGGCGUGUAGGGAGGUCCCUGGGUUGAUUUUGCUACGAUGGCGGUCAGACGAGGGAUUCCUGUAUUGCUCUUUCUAGAAAUUGUAGCGGUUUUUCUGAAGCUAGUGGAACUUUGUAAAGGCCUCGUAGUGUAUCACUAGCCAUUCACCUAGGUAGUGUCUAAGGGUCUAGCUAACCCUGGCGACAUGGGACACACGACUUGUGGGUACACGUUACAACCUCUAUAGAGUGUAAAACUGGUAUACUAGCCGUGCUCGUGGUCAUGAGCAGCUCAGGGCUCUCGCAUGAUUAAACUAUGGAACUAAAUUCAAAUUGUCAUAUUUAUUGCAUGUGAUUUAUUAUUAAUUUUGUUCUAUUAUUAUUAUGGUUUGGUAUUUACUUACAUUCAGUAAGUGCUCAUAAAAAUUUGACCAACUUAUUAAAAGCAAUGCUCAGCUUUGACCCCUAUUAUUGAUCAGCCUUACACACCAUAUGAACUCCCACCUUUGGUGAGUUCAGGUACAUUAUUCGCCACAACUUGUUGAGCAAUGAACAUAUGUGAGAUUACCCUUGCUGUCUCACACCUCCCACAGGUCAAGAACAGGUAACACAGGAUGAAGCCCAUGGAGGUUGCUGCGAUGUAUUCGUGAGAGGUCUAGGCCGUCGUCUCCCAGUCAACUUUGGGUUGCUGGAUCGUUGUCUCCU